AUGGCUUCUUGGCCUUUUGGCUAAGAUCAAGCGCAGGAUCUGUUCUUAUCACUUUAAUAUCCGAUUCGUCCUUAUCCACAUCCCAGCCAGUCAUCUAUC
RNAcentral lists this small nuclear RNA (99 nucleotides) under Catagonus wagneri (Chacoan peccary). RNAcentral describes it as "U2 spliceosomal RNA (ENSCWAG00000011490.1)". It matches the Rfam family "U2 spliceosomal RNA". From Rfam's summary of the family: U2 is a small nuclear RNA (snRNA) component of the spliceosome (involved in pre-mRNA splicing). Complementary binding between U2 snRNA (in an area lying towards the 5' end but 3' to hairpin I) and the branchpoint sequence (BPS) of the intron results the bulging out of an unpaired adenosine, on the BPS, which initiates a nucleophilic attack at the intronic 5' splice site, thus starting the first of two transesterification reactions that mediate splicing. Lineage: Eukaryota; Metazoa; Chordata; Mammalia; Artiodactyla; Tayassuidae. The record is from Rfam by way of RNAcentral.